GCUGGUGCCCCCAGACUGAACUGCCUGGGAACAUCAGGGCAUCUCUACAUUACAUCUAAUGUCUCAAAUAUUUUAGAAAAUAGAAUAAUCCUAUCAGUUCUUAAUAUUUUCCAGGGACUAUGAAAUUGUGUAAACAGGACUUAACUGCACAGUAUCUUUAAAUUUUCUCCAAAGGGCUGGGAAAUUCUUGGAUCCUAUGGCAGCAAAGUUGUUUGGUAGCAUGUGCUGUGCAAAAAGAAGCUUUUACUGGGUCAUGCCAGCAGCAAGCAGACCUCCACUUCUUUCGUCAUCAUUAUCAGAGAGUGGAAGGUGAAAUAGGCCAGAAACUCAGAUGCCUUCUGUACUUGUGCUGUAAGGCAAGGCUCUCUAUGCUGAGAUCAUCUCUGACAGAACUGCUUUCAAAUCUUUCCUCCUGAUAGGAUGAAGACCCUCCCAAGGUGCCACCAUCACCGAGCCUACAGCACUGCUGCCAAGAAAUGCUCAGUGCAGGAGGUAAAAGCAACCAUGCACUGCUUCUCCUUCCUUCCUCCUCUCCCUGUAACCUGGUUUCCAUGCAAAAGAAGGCACAGCUGGUGAUGGACUGUGGCACACACUGCAGGACUGGGGCCAAGGGUUUCCCACGUCAGGCAGCACUGGGUCAGCCAAGGCACAGACCACAUCUACAGGAGAGAGAUGCUGUGGGCUCUGGGGUUUGACACCAGGCACUGCCCAGGACAGCCAGGGACAGAGUACAAGAGAGGCAGAUCCAGCUUUAGGGACAGAGAUCCAAGCAGAAAACGCUUGGGAACAGUCCAGGUGGAGUAAAAUAAAAAGGAAGAGACACAUUGAAACUGGGUGUGCAAUGGCCUUACUCCUGGGUUGGACAAUGAUGUGGUGCAAUCACUAUGGCAAACCACAAAUGCACUGGCAGAACUCAUCAAAUAAGUGAUAAGAAACAUCAAAGGCAAGCUAUUUUCAUUAUUUUUCUUAAUUGAAAUAGAGUCUGUAAGGAGCUUCAGAUCUUUACUUAGCAGGUGACUUUUAUUCCUGUCCUAUUUAAAAAUGGGUCAAAGCUGGAGUUUUCACUCUGACAGACAUUAGACUUCCUCAGAGCUUUAGGCUAAGCCUGUUAGGAGGCCACUAGAUUCCUGGUUGUUUCUAGAUCAACAAGGAUCACACUACCAAUUGAACUUAAGUUAAAAUGUCUAGAAGUUUCUAUUUUCGUAAAUGUAGUUGAAAUGUGUUGAAAAUUUCAGCUGAGGCAUUUACAGCACUGUUAAAUCCAGACCAACACAUUAUUGCUAAAAGAGAGUUUGACUUUGAAGUCAGUUUAGUUGUUAUUUAGGGUCCAGAUUACACACUCAUGCAGGGAAUUAAUGGGAAGCAUAUACAGCAGUCCCCAUCACUCCUUGCUAGGCAUUUUGUUGAGAUCUUUCCUGUAUAGUACUGGGGAUUUACUAUCUUCCAUUUCUAUCUCUCUAAAGUUAUUUGAAAAUACAAGAAUAAAUUGCUAUAGGUUCUGCUUGUUUGGAGGCUGUUUUUAUACUCAAACUCUCCAAGUUUUUGAAGUUGAAUAUCUCAGCUUCAUGACCAUACCAGAGCACCCAGCUGGUGUUUUCAGAGGGAUACCUAGAGUCACUCCAAAAUGCUCUUUAGAAUAGCACUUCAUAAACCAAGAGAUUAGAUUAAUAAAUUUAAAGCACCAGAAAAUUUUUCUCCUCUCUGAAUUCUAUAAUUUGCUUCUGUUCUGGCAGAGCUAGGUGCAGGCUAGUAGAAACACAUAUUCAAAUGGAGGUCUUUGCUUGAGAAAAUAGGUUAAACACUAUUCUAUCAUGAGGUUUAUUCCCCUGUUUUACUGUGUUUU
Cyanistes caeruleus (blue tit) is the source of this 1843-nucleotide non-coding RNA. The record is from RefSeq and is a predicted model, not a curated record. NCBI's taxonomy places the organism in Eukaryota, Metazoa, Chordata, Aves, Passeriformes, Paridae.